This 462-nucleotide ribosomal RNA is filed under the name uncultured bacterium. RNAcentral describes it as "partial 16S ribosomal RNA". It matches the Rfam family "Bacterial small subunit ribosomal RNA", at positions 28 to 507 of the family's 1533-position model. The record is from RNAcentral.
GACGAACGCUGGCGGCGUGCUUAACACAUGCAAGUCGAGCGGUAAGGCCUUUCGGGGUACACGAGCGGCGAAAGGGUGGAACACACGUGGGUGAUCUGCACUGCACUUCGGGAUAAGGCUGGGAAACUGGGUCUAAUACCGGAAAUGACCUCCUAUCGCAUGGUGGGUGGGGGAAAGAUUUAUCGGUGCCGGAUGGGCCCGCGGCCGAUCAGCUUGUUGGUGGGGUAAUGGCCUACCAAGGCGACGACGGGUAGCCGACCUGAGAGGGUGACCGGCCACACUGGGCCUGAGACACGGCCCAGACUCCUACGGGAGACAGCAGUGGGGAAUAUGACACAAUGGGCGAACGCCUGAUGCAGCGGCGCCGCGUGCGGGAUGACGGCCUUCGUGUUGUAAACCGCUUUCAGCAGGGACGAAUCGCGAGUGACGGUACCUGCAGAAGAAGCACCGGCUAACUACGUG